GACGAACGCUGGCGGCGUGCUUAACACAUGCAAGUCGAACGGAAAGGCCUGCUUUCCCUUGUGGAUUGCGGGUACUCGAGUGGCGAACGGGUGAGUAACACGUGAGUGAUCUGCCCCCAACUUGGGGAUAAGCCUGUGAAACUGGGUCUAAUUCCCGAUAGGACUGCAGGGUGGUGCCUGUGGUGGAAAACGAUUUUCUAGUGGUUGGGGAUGAGCUCGCGGCCUAUCAGCUUGUUGGUGGGGUAAUGGCCUACCAAGGCGGCGACGGGUAGCCGGCCUGAGAGGGUGGACGGCCACAUUGGGACUGAGAGACGGCCCAGACUCCUACGGGAGGCAGCAGUGGGGAAUAUUGCACAAUGGGCGGAAGCCUGAUGCAGCGACGCCGCGUGGGGGAUGACGGCCUUCGGGUUGUAAACUCCUUUCGACCGCGAGGAAGCCACCUGGUUGGAAGGGUGGUGACGGUAGUGGUAGAAGAAGCACCGGCUAACUACGUG
Molecule: ribosomal RNA, 494 nt
Filed under: uncultured bacterium
Lineage: Bacteria
Description: partial 16S ribosomal RNA
Rfam family: Bacterial small subunit ribosomal RNA
Source: RNAcentral